UUACUGAAUUGUCAACAAGAGUUGUUGCUGGCUCCCCGUACGGGGGCAUGUGCACACUUUGUUUACACAUCCACUCACACCUGUGCACCCUCCGUAAUUCCAUGGCCUGGGUGGGCUCUGUCCUCCUGGCGUGGUUCUACGUCUUUACACACACACUACAACAAAGUCUUAUGGAAUGUAUGUCGCGUUUAACGCAAUGAAAUACAACUUUCAGCAACGGAUCUCUUGGCUCUCGCAUCGAUGAAGAACGCAGCGAAAUGCGAUAAGUAAUGUGAAUUGCAGAAUUCAGUGAAUCAUCGAAUCUUUGAACGCACCUUGCGCCCUUUGGCUAUUCCGAAGGGCAUGCCUGUUUGAGUAUCAUGAACACCUCAACUCUCAUGGCUUGCCAUGAUGAGCUUGGACUUUGGGGGUCUUGUUGGCCUGUGAGCCAGCUCCUCUUAAAUGAAUUAGCUUGCCGGUGUUUGGUGGCGUCACGGGUGUGAUAACUAUCUACGCUUGUGGUUUCCCACCAGGUAACCUUCAGCAAUGGAGGUUCGCCGGAGCUUAUAAAUGUCUCUCCUCGGUGAGGACACAUUUUGACCAUUUGAUCUCAAAUCAGGUAGGACUACCCGCUGAACUUAAGC
This 623-nucleotide ribosomal RNA is filed under the name uncultured Tomentella. RNAcentral's name for it is "eukaryotic LSU rRNA". The stretch from base 206 to 360 matches the Rfam family "5.8S ribosomal RNA". The record is from RNAcentral. Lineage: Eukaryota; Fungi; Basidiomycota; Agaricomycetes; Thelephorales; Thelephoraceae.